GAUUAACGCUGGCGGCGUGCAUAACACAUGCAAGUCGAACGAUGAAGAUUAUUAGACUUCUUCGGAAUGAAAAUAAUUGGAUUAGUGGCGGACGGGUGAGUAACGCGUGAGUAACCUGCCUUACACAAGGGGAUAGCCGUUGGAAACGACGAAUAAUACCCUAUGAAACUAUCACUUCGCAUGAAGCGAUAGUCAAAGUGUUAGCGGUGUAAGAUGGACUUGCGUCUGAUUAGCUAGUUGGUGAGAAAAAAGCCCACCAAGGCAACGAUCAGUAGCCGGCUUGAGAGAGUGUACGGCCGCAUUGGGACUGAGACACGGCCCAGACUCCUACGGGAGGCAGCAGUGGGGAAUUAUGCACAAUGGGGGAAAUGCUGAUGCAGCGACGCCGCGUGAUUGAGAAGGCCGUCGGGUUGUAAAAAUCUUUUGGAUAGGAAGAAAAUGACAGUACUAUACGAAUAAGGUCCGGCUAAUUACGUG
RNAcentral lists this ribosomal RNA (477 nucleotides) under uncultured bacterium. RNAcentral's name for it is "partial 16S ribosomal RNA". It matches the Rfam family "Bacterial small subunit ribosomal RNA", at positions 28 to 507 of the family's 1533-position model. The record is from RNAcentral.